GAGUAAUGCUUAGGAAUCUGCCCAUCAGGUGGGGGACAACCCGGGGAAACAAAGGGCUAAUACCGCAUAAGUCCUACGGGAGAAAGCGGGGGACCGCAAGGCCUCGCGCUGAUGGAUGAGCCUAAGUCCGAUUAGCUAGUUGGUAGGGUAAAAGCCUACCAAGGCGACGAUCGGUAGCUGGUCUGAGAGGAUGAUCAGCCACACUGGGACUGAGACACGGCCCAGACUCCUACGGGAGGCAGCAGUGGGGAAUAUUGGACAAUGGGCGCAAGCCUGAUCCAGCAAUGCCGCGUGUGUGAAGAAGGCCUGCGGGUUGUAAAGCAC
RNAcentral lists this ribosomal RNA (324 nucleotides) under uncultured Gammaproteobacteria bacterium. RNAcentral's name for it is "bacterial SSU rRNA". It matches the Rfam family "Bacterial small subunit ribosomal RNA", at positions 108 to 433 of the family's 1533-position model. Lineage: Bacteria; Pseudomonadati; Pseudomonadota; Gammaproteobacteria. The record is from RNAcentral.